CAGCCGCCGCGGGAAUACGUAGGGUGCGAGCGUUAAUCGGAAUUACUGGGCGUAAAGCGUGCGCAGGCGGUUAUAUAAGACAGAUGUGAAAUCCCCGGGCUCAACCUGGGACCUGCAUUUGUGACUGUAUAGCUAGAGUACGGUAGAGGGGGAUGGAAUUCCGCGUGUAGCAGUGAAAUGCGUAGAUAUGCGGAGGAACACCGAUGGCGAAGGCAAUCCCCUGGACCUGUACUGACGCACAUGCACGAAAGCGUGGGGAGCAAACAGGAUUAGAUACCCCCGUAGUCCCUGUCUCUUAUAC
RNAcentral lists this ribosomal RNA (301 nucleotides) under uncultured bacterium. Its description in RNAcentral is "partial 16S ribosomal RNA". It matches the Rfam family "Bacterial small subunit ribosomal RNA", at positions 509 to 807 of the family's 1533-position model. The record is from RNAcentral.